RNAcentral lists this ribosomal RNA (253 nucleotides) under uncultured bacterium. RNAcentral describes it as "partial 16S ribosomal RNA". It matches the Rfam family "Bacterial small subunit ribosomal RNA", at positions 524 to 776 of the family's 1533-position model. The record is from RNAcentral.
UACGAAGGGGACUAGCGUUGUUCGGAAUUACUGGGCGUAAAGCGCACGUAGGCGGAUUUGUUAGUCAGGGGUGAAAUCCCGGGGCUCAACCUCGGAACUGCCUUUGAUACUGCAAAUCUCGAGUCCGAUAGAGGUGGGUGGAAUUCCUAGUGUAGAGGUGAAAUUCGUAGAUAUUAGGAAGAACACCAGUGGCGAAGGCGGCCCACUGGAUCGGUACUGACGCUGAGGUGCGAAAGCGUGGGGAGCAAACAGG